This 3359-nucleotide long non-coding RNA is filed under the name Mus musculus (house mouse). Its description in RNAcentral is "long non-coding RNA chr7:101207664-101211023". Lineage: Eukaryota; Metazoa; Chordata; Mammalia; Rodentia; Muridae. The record is from RNAcentral.
AGUUCCAAAAUUUGGCCCAGUAUCCAGUAGUGUUAAAGGAACAAAUUUUACUUUAAUGGAGUCUGGUGGUGCUAGUGAAGUACAUAUAUAAACAGAAAUGUGGCUGUGGCCAUUUUUGACAAAUGUAAUCAGCCAUAUGAUCUUAUAUCUUAUAUUCUUUCUUUUCUUUUUCUGUUGAUUUUCAAAUGGUGUUUAUUUGUUUAGUAACUCAUGUGUGGGCUACAGUUUUCGGUGAUCAUGGUCAUGCUGAAUUAAAUAAAAAUAAUUUUAUGCUAAAUAAAGAAUUUUUUCUAACUUACAUUUUUUCUUGUUUUAUUGUACUGGUUAGGAUGCUCAGUAUAAUGGUAAAUACAAGUACUGAAUGAACAUGUUAAUAGUAGGUGUUUUAUGAAAUCAAAAAAACUAACUUUUAAAAUAUUGUAGUAAAAUAUACAUAACAUAAGACUUCUUGUUUAAGCCCGUUAAGAUUGUGUUCAUUAUUAUGAAACUAUUAGAACCAUCUAACCCCAGGACUUUUUCCCUAACCUAAACUCUAGCCACUGGUCAGUAACUUCUAACUCCUCUUUCACUAGUUCUUGCCUGUUAUUUUUUUGUCUGUAUAAAUUUGACUAUUCUAAUGAUCUCAUGUAAGUGAAAAAUUUUAUACACACACAGUAGUGAAAUGCUUGCCUAGCAUGCUUGAGGCUCUGUGUUUAAUCCUCUUACUAUCUCAUAAAAGAGAGACAGAGGUCCCUUCAUGCUGUAGUUUGUCUCAGUUUUUGUUUAUUUAUUUGUUUGUUUAUUAUUUUUUAUUUUUCUGGUUUUUCAAGACAGGGUUUCUCUGUGUAGCCCUGGCUGUCCUGGAACUCACUUUGUAGACCAGAACUCAGAAAUCCGCCUGCCCCUGCCUCCCAAGUGCUGGGAUUAAAGGUGGUGUACCACCACCGCCCGGCUUCGGUUUUUAUUUUAAAGCUAAAUGAUUUUCUGUUGGAUUUAUAUGCCACAUUCUGUGUCACCUCUUCACCCUUCCAAGGGUUGCACUUAAUUUUUUUUUAACCUUUUGGCUAUUUUGUUUAACUAUUUGAGAAACAACCAUACAAGGGCUGUACCAUUUUUACAUGUCCAUCCAUCAGUAAGUAAAGAUAUUUUUCUGCAUGCUUUCUAGCACUUACUAUUUUAUCUUUGCCUUUCUUCCCUCCUCUCUCCCCACCCCCCAGGAAGAGGAUAGGGAAAGCUCCUUAUGAGGAGUUAUAUUGUUUUAUUUAUUGUGUAUCUAGCAUCCAAAAUCAGUGUAGGAUGAGUGAGGUGGUACUGGUUGCAGUGGCCUUUCUGUAUGGAGAAUUUGUCUUUAUAAAGGAGUUGGCUUUGUAUGGUGAGUUAGAUGUCAGCUGAUGGACGAGGAUGGGGCCUCAGAGAGUUGGAGUCUUAGGAAUAGGAGAGUGAAAGUGUACCAAGAGUGUACUUGCUGACACUGUUCACAAUGGCAUGUUAAAUAGUUGUACCAAGAGUGUACUUGCUGACACUGUUCACGAUGGCAUGUUAAUUAGUUGGAGGGCUGAGGGGAGGACUCAUUGUGGAAUGUGCUUGGUGUGCAAGCAUUAGGAUCUGAGUUUGGAUCCCCAGCACCCACUUAAAAAUGUGUGGCUGGAAGCCCACUAGUGAUUGUCCAGUGCUGAGCAGCCAAAAUAGGCAGACCCUGAGAACUUGCUAGUUAGCCAGUAUGGUGAGCUCCAGGUUCAGUUAGAGACCCUAUCUCAGAAAUAUGGCGGAGAGCAAUAGAAGAAGAUGCCAGCAUCAACCUCUAGCUGCCAUGCAUGCACAUGGUCACUCACUUACACAUUCACACAUAUACACUCAUACACACACGCAGAAGUUGAAGAAAUUAUUUGACCAUAAAGAACAAAUUUGGUUUUUUUUGGGACAGUUUUUCUUUGUAGUCUUGGCUGUCCUGGAACUCACUGUGUAGACCAGGCUAACUUCAAACUCAGAGAUUUACCUGCUUCUUCCUCAUGAGUACUGGGAUUAAAAGGCAUGCAUCACCACCACACAGCUAAUGGUAACAACUUUAAAUGAAGGAAGAGUCAAUUCAAAGGCAAGAAUUGAUGAGUGUAUGUUCUUAGUUGGCAAUAGUAGAAUAAAAACUUGUUUUGUUUUGUUUUGUUUUGUUUUUCAAGACAGGGUUUCUCUGCAUGGCCCUUGCUGUCAUGGAACUCACUCUAGACCAGGCUGACUUCAAACUCAGAAACCCCUCUACCUGUGCCUUUGAAGUGCAGGGAUUAAAGAUGUGAGCCACUAUAGUGACUCUCCACAGCUUAUACCAGUGGUUCCCAACCUUUUUCUUGAUUGUUCUAGAACUGCUUUUUGUUCUUAAAAUUUAUUGAAACUUAAGCUUUUGUUGAUGUGGGCUGUAAUUACUAUAUUAGAAAUUCAAACUGAGAAACUUUGAGACAGCAGAAUGUCCAAGAACGGAUUUCUCUGACUAUCGGAGGCAUUGAGUCAUCCAUAUAAUCCAUCCUCUGAGAACUCUACAUGCUUCUGGAGGGAAUAAGAGUAGAAAGGCACUGGGCGGUGGUGGCGUACGCCUUUAAUCCCAGCACUUGGGAGGCAGAGGCAGGUGGAUUUCUUAGUUUGAGGCCAGCCUGGUCUACAAAGUGAGUUCCAGGAUAGCCACAGCUACGUAGAGAAACCCUGUCUUGGGAAAAAAAAAAAAGUAGAAAGGAUAAUAAUAUCUUAGUGCUUCUAGAAAAACAAUUGUGACAUCAAGGGUGCCUUAAAAGGGCCUUCAAUAUCUUUCCUAUGUUCCCUUGAAUCCCACCUUGAGAACAUCUGCCAUCUACCAAAUAAAUAGCCUUAUUGCUACCUUCAGUUGGAAGAAUUCCAAGAAUAAAAUUGAAGACCUCAUUCAUUAUUUAAGUGGAGUUCUAGAGUUUUAGGAACAUUAGUAGUGAACUGUUCUUGUCAGAGGCACAGCUUCUUUCCAUAGAGCGAGGAAGCCACUCUUACAAAUGGAGUAGAGACAGAGAGUAAAAAAGGACAAAUGACACACUCUUCAUUUCACACAAUAAACUGAUUUGAUUGACACUGAACCAACAUUUAUAAUUUAUUACCUAAGUUGCAUACUUAUAUGAUAUGCUUGACUGCUUAUGACAUAUUAACUAUAAACAAAAAUGAUGUAAUUUAGAGAGUUUUUUUGGAUUUAGUAACUUGUUUGGAAAGGUUUGAGUAAAGAGAGACCUGGAAUUAUUACCUUCAAAUCACUUGGUUCAUUUCUCAGAAGUGUUUAUUUCUCAACUACACAUACUUCCUAUAUUUAAAACAGCACCCAGACAAGACCACAGAAUUAGCUGGAAACACCUGCGUUCACUAGGCCUAUAGAGUAA